GAUGGACGCUAGCGGCGUGCCUAACACAUGCAAGUCGAACGUGAGAGGGUACUUGUAUCCUUGAAAGUGGCGGACGGGUGAGUAAGACGUAGGUGACCUGCCUCGAAGUGGGGGAUAACCAUUGGAAACGAUGGCUAAUACCGCAUAAGCUGGUGACGAUGGGAAUGGUUAUCAGGAAAGCUUUAGUGCUUUGAGAGGGGCCUACGGCCGAUUAGCUAGUUGGUGAGGUAAAGGCUCACCAAGGCGAUGAUCGGUAGCUGGUCUGAGAGGACGAUCAGCCACACGGGAACUGAGACACGGUCCCGACUCCUACGGGGGGCAGCAGUGAGGAAUAUUCGGCAAUGGGGGCAACCCUGACCGAGCAACGCCGCGUGGAGGAUGACGGUUUUCGGAUUGUAAACUCCUUUUCUCAGGGAAGAGCGAGGACGGUACCUGGGGAAUAAGUCACGGCUAACUACGUG
This 461-nucleotide ribosomal RNA is filed under the name uncultured bacterium. RNAcentral describes it as "bacterial SSU rRNA". It matches the Rfam family "Bacterial small subunit ribosomal RNA", at positions 28 to 507 of the family's 1533-position model. The record is from RNAcentral.